This 301-nucleotide ribosomal RNA is filed under the name uncultured bacterium. Its description in RNAcentral is "partial 16S ribosomal RNA". It matches the Rfam family "Bacterial small subunit ribosomal RNA", at positions 509 to 807 of the family's 1533-position model. The record is from RNAcentral.
CAGUAGCCGCGGGAAAACGUAGGUGGCAAGCGUUGUCCGGAAUUAUUGGGCGUAAAGGGCUCGCAGGCGGUUUCUUAAGUCUGAUGUGAAAGCCCCCGGCUCAACCGGGGAGAGUCAUUGGAAACUGGGAAACUUGAGUGCAGAAGAGGAGAGUGGAAUUCCACGUGUAGCGGUGAAAUGCGUAGAGAUGUGGAGGAACACCAGUGGCGAAGGCGACUCUCUGGUCUGUAACUGACGCUGAGGAGCGAAAGCGUGGGGAGCGAACAGGAUUAGAGACCCCUGUAGUCCCUGUCUCUUAUAC